UACGGAAGGUCCGGGCGUUAUCCGGAUUUAUUGGGUUUAAAGGGAGCGCAGGCCGAUGGUUAAGCGUGACGUGAAAUGUAGGUGCUCAACAUCUGCACUGCGUCGCGAACUGGCUAUCUUGAGUGAGUUCGAUGUUGGCGGAAUUUGUGGUGUAGCGGUGAAAUGCUUAGAUAUCACGAAGAACUCCGAUUGCGAAGGCAGCCAACAAGGCCUUUACUGACGCUAAAGCUCGAAGGUGCGGGUAU
RNAcentral lists this ribosomal RNA (245 nucleotides) under uncultured Prevotella sp. RNAcentral's name for it is "partial 16S ribosomal RNA". It matches the Rfam family "Bacterial small subunit ribosomal RNA", at positions 524 to 768 of the family's 1533-position model. Lineage: Bacteria; Pseudomonadati; Bacteroidota; Bacteroidia; Bacteroidales; Prevotellaceae. The record is from RNAcentral.